UUAAGUUCAGCGGGUAAUCCUACCUGAUCCGAGGUCAACCUUCUGUAAAUGGGGGGGUUUAACGGCUGGGGCGCGCUGGGGACCGCGGGCGAGAUAUUGCUACUACGCCCGGACCUUCAGCGAGUCCGCCACUAAUUUUCAGGGCCUACGCUCGCGCGUAGUGCCCCAACACCAAGCUGGGCUUGAGGGUUGAAAUGACG
RNAcentral lists this unclassified non-coding RNA (200 nucleotides) under Sordariomycetes sp. Its description in RNAcentral is "partial internal transcribed spacer 2". The record is from RNAcentral. Lineage: Eukaryota; Fungi; Ascomycota; Sordariomycetes.